RNAcentral lists this ribosomal RNA (253 nucleotides) under uncultured bacterium. RNAcentral's name for it is "partial 16S ribosomal RNA". It matches the Rfam family "Bacterial small subunit ribosomal RNA", at positions 524 to 776 of the family's 1533-position model. The record is from RNAcentral.
UACGGAGGAUUCAAGCGUUAUCCGGAUUUACUGGGUGUAAAGGGAGCGUAGACGGCUAAUCAAGUCAGAAGUGAAAACCCAGGGCUCAACCUUGGGACUGCUUUUGAAACUGAGUAGCUAGAGUGCAGGAGAGGUAAGCGGAAUGCGUGGUGUAGCGGUGAAAUGCAUAGAUAUCACGCAGAACUCCGAUUGCGAAGGCAGCAUACCGGCGCCCAACUGACGCUCAGGCACGAAAGCGUGGGUAUCGAACAGG